This 3160-nucleotide long non-coding RNA is filed under the name Sorghum bicolor (sorghum). RNAcentral describes it as "long non-coding RNA (SBIC_LNC007295)". Lineage: Eukaryota; Viridiplantae; Streptophyta; Magnoliopsida; Poales; Poaceae. The record is from RNAcentral.
GCGGCGAUUUUUCACAGGCCAUCGGUUGGGUCCAUUUGGAAGCACGCGGCACGGGUGUCUCCACCCUGCAGGAAUCGGGUUUUGACGGGGAAACCUGUCCGACCUCGUGGCACCGGCCGGCAUUCCCCGGCUCGAGUCGCCUCGCCUCUCCUCUCCUCGACUCACCUCUCCUCACGACUCACAGCCGACUUCUCCUCCGUCGCCGCCCCUCCGCCGUCGCCUCGCGCCUUCUCUUGCCAUCUUUGUCUCCGUCCCGGCCACCGUCCCGGCCGAACUGUCUUAUCCCCACCUCCACAUCGGCUUCGUCCCCUCGCUGGAGAGACGUGACCGCCGAAGCUGCUGAAAGGUACCGGCUCCAAAAUCCACUCUAGUUCUUCUCGGAUUUGUCUUCCCUCCGAACAAAGGAAGGCAGUCUCAAUCUGGUAUGCACCCGCUCGAUUGGUCCCCCUUCUCGAUCUGUUGUAUAGUCGAUCUAGGGUUUCGGUAGAUUAUUUGAUUCUUAGGUUUACUUGUUCUGGUGCUGGUAGAUCUAGUUUGACUCCCAUAGUUGAUUUGAAUUGGUGAGAUUCUUACUGAUACACUAGAUUUCGAUGGAAGAUACAUUUUAAUUGUUGUAUGCUUUGCUUCUGCCGUUUGGAGCAACUUAUCAUCUCCCAUGUUCUAUAAUGCUGCUAGUUUUUUUUCUGCACAAUUGCACAUGGAAGCAUUAGCCAUAGGUCAAUAAUUUUCUGCCAGGUGAAGUCUGCUGUGCCAGGUUCCAACAUCAAAGAUACAGUGAUAUGCAAGAUAAUUGAAGCGAUAUAAUUUAAUCUAUUUUUAGGAGGAAAGCCAUUGAUUGAUUAAGAUGAUUUGCUUUGUGUUAUAUAAUAACUUUGGUUGCACCCACAUUAUCCAUCAGGUGCGUAUCAGAUGAGAGCAAGACGACGAUAGCAGAUUGGUUGCAUGUGCAGUUCCCUUUCUUUGUUUGAUAAAUAAUAGUCAUACUGUUGAACCAAGGGACAUGACUUCACUCUUUUUUAAAUUGAUUUUGAUCUGAUGCAUGCUUAGUUUAGAUUACUUUAGAAGGUUCAGCAAGCUUUAGCAUGCUAGGAAUAAUUCAGUGAUAGUUGAAGUUUCAAUCAUGAUUGUUUAUGUAUCUAAUAAUAUAACUUAGUCAUAUCUAAGGAAAUCUUGCCACAAAAACUGUAGCUUGGCUGCACGAAUCUCUCUGCAGCUUAUUAUUUGCAGUUUAUUUUUAGAGAGUAAGAACGUUUUGCUGAAAAUAGAGUGCAGUCAUUGAUACCUCAUAUCUGCUACAAGCCUUUAAGUUUAAGAGAAACAUGGUAUUCACUAUACUGAUUUUUUUUUCUUUCUGAUUGUAUUGGUAGGAAGGUCCGCCCCACGCCUGGCUCCACGUCCUGCUCCAGUGAGGAACCGACCAUAGCCAGGUACUUAACUACAUGCUUGAAUACUAGUUUGCAUCCAUUUUGUUUCAUAGCAGAUAUUGCCUGUUAAUGAGAUGGAUCAUGUUUUCCACGGCAAACUGGGCAUGGCUUGUUGAUAGUUGCUAUUGUUUGUUUCGAGUCCCACUUAUAUGUCACCCAUGUGCUAAGUAAUUACUACUGUUUUGUUAGGGUCCUUAUUUGGUCAGUGGAACGAUGCUAACUGAAUGCGUGCAAGAGUGAAAUUUAGUUGUCUGAAUCUUAGCAACUUGACUGAUCGAUUGGAUUGCAUACAUGCUGUUGCAACUAGUAGACGCCAGACAUGAGCCAUCUGCUCUUAGCUAUCUGCUUCAUGGAGGAGGAAGGAAGAUGUUGGUUUUCAGAAUUCACUCAAUUAUUGUUAAUUUUGUGUUGAAUAAACAGAGCUUUUCCUAUAUGAUAAAUGAUUAAAAUAUGGAAACUUGUAUAGCUUCCUGCUGUUUGUGUUGAAUGAUUUCCGGUGUGGCAAAUACUCUGCAUUUGUUCUAAAAAAUGUGGGAAUGAAAAGUUGCAGAAAAUUAGCAAAGAACCAAAGGAGCUCGGCAAAUACUCUGCAUUUGUUCUAAAAAAUGUGGGAAUGAAAAGUUGCAGAAAAUUAGAAAAAGUUUCAGAGAUUUGCAUUCAAGUGUUUGAAUUCAGAGAGUUUCAGUUUCGGUUACUAUGUAUGGCUUCUUAACUUUAAAUAGAUGCCAUUGAAUUUUAGCCAAGCCAUAACUAAUAUACUCUACUAGUUCUACAAGCCUUUAAGUUUAAGAGAAACAUGGUAUUCACUAUACUGAAUUUGUUUCUGCUGUGUUAGGUUCCUUCUUUAAUUUUUGAGAUCAGUGUUAGUUACCCAGUGGUAGAUCUUACACCUGCUUUUAUGUCAGUCUUUUGCAUCUGUAGCUUGCUGCUCGAUUUGGUCAUUAGUUCCCAGAUAAGAAAACAAAAACAUUUCUUCUAGGCAAUGCAUGCUAGCAGCCUGCUCCCUUGUAAUACUACUACUGAAUAUUGGUACUUUUAGUAGAGACUCAUAUUUUGAUCCUAGUUAUGGUUUGAGUUCAUUUCUUCUAGUUAUGGUUUGAGUUCCGAGCUACCUUUGAUCCUUUUGUCUUGCUAGUCUACUGAGCUACCUUUGAUCCUUUUGUCUUGCUAGUCUACUAUACAUGUUUUGUGAUGGUCAUAAUUAAGCUUAUAUGUUUUUUUGUUUGAUAUUUGCAGAUGGCUCGGUGGAAGCAAUGCUUUAAUUUAGAUGAAUAAAGUCUGGACACUUUUGUAGCGUUUGUUGGACAUUUCGGCUUUUAUGUUGCCACACAAAGACCUCAAAUGGACUCUACUGAGUAUUUCUAGCAUCUAUAGUUGUGCAUAGACUUGAUUUCAUAUUCUAAAAUGGCUAUGUAUUUGUAUGGAGAAAGACUUAUUCCUUGCAAAGGGUUUGGUGGAAGCAACAUGAUUUCAGACAAGUGAAGUGUGGUCACUUCUAGUAGUGAAGAGACUCAUAUUUUGUUCUUUUUUUACUGUUUAGAAUCUGUGGAUGGAGACAAAUUUGUGAUGUAUGUAUUAGGUUGUUUAGAUAUUGUUAUUACUUAUUAGAUGGCACCUGAAUCAAACUUUUGCAUGAAUAUGACUCUUAUUUCUGAUGCAGAUCUUCUCACAUAUUACUUUGUUAUAUUACGUGCAUCUUCAGUUUUUUUUCUUAAAUUUUACAAUUUUUCUCAAAA